UUUGGGUAUUAAUUUGAAAUAAAUCUGCUCAAAGUCUCAUGCAAAUCUGAAACAAAUUUGCUCAAAUCUCGCUCAUUAAAUGAUGAACGACUAUUUUACCGUUCAAAUCCCCAAUGUCCAAAUUCAAACGGAUAUAUUGACCGAAAUUAAAGAUCUGAAUUUCAAAAUCUCGCCCAAGUCAAGAACCCUAGAUUUUCACCUAUAAAAACCAGCACUUGGAGUCCAUCUGAACAGGGUUUUUAGCCGCACCUUUACCCCUCAAAAUGGUGGGAGCCUCCUCCUUUUCCGAAACUCACUAAUUUUUUUGAAAUCAUAGCUCGACCAACUCUUUCUCUAUUUGGUUUGCAAUUUCCAAGCAGAGGCUCUUGUCUUUUGCUCAGCCGAGGUAGUGAGUUUGAGGUCGAAGUGCGAUAGUUGAUCGACGACGCUCUUAGCUCACUGCCCCGCAAAAGUUUAAACCUUCAUCAUGGUCGAAAUUUACCAAUCAACACAGUUGAGGACAACCAAGUUGGAGAUAGCGUACCAUGCAAAAUAAAAAGGGAAGAAUAGCCAUGAUAAUGAUAUGUAAGUAACAAGCAGAGAAAAAUAGAGAAUGUACAUCGAUAUAUUGGUACCA
Long non-coding RNA from Nicotiana tabacum (common tobacco), 616 nucleotides. RefSeq lists it as uncharacterized. The record is from RefSeq and is a predicted model, not a curated record. Lineage: Eukaryota; Viridiplantae; Streptophyta; Magnoliopsida; Solanales; Solanaceae.